UUGCUUCGGCAGCACAUAUACUAAAAUUGAAAUGAUACAGAGAUGAUUAGCCCCUACACAAGGAUGACCCACAAAUUUGUGAAGCGUUCCAUAUUUUA
RNAcentral lists this small nuclear RNA (98 nucleotides) under Suricata suricatta (meerkat). The record is from RNAcentral. Lineage: Eukaryota; Metazoa; Chordata; Mammalia; Carnivora; Herpestidae.